RNAcentral lists this ribosomal RNA (445 nucleotides) under uncultured Bacillota bacterium. RNAcentral describes it as "bacterial SSU rRNA". It matches the Rfam family "Bacterial small subunit ribosomal RNA", at positions 917 to 1359 of the family's 1533-position model. Lineage: Bacteria; Bacillati; Bacillota. The record is from RNAcentral.
GGGCCCGCACAAGCAGCGGAGCAUGUGGUUUAAUUCGACGCAACGCGAAGAACCUUACCAGGUCUUGACAUCGAUGUAAACCGGAAGAGAUUCUGGGUUCCUUUCGGGGAGACAGAAGACAGGUGGUGCAUGGUUGUCGUCAGCUCGUGUCGUGAGAUGUUGGGUUAAGUCCCGCAACGAGCGCAACCCUUGCGAUUGGUUGCUAACAGGUAAAGCUGAGAACUCCAAUAGGACUGCCGGGGACAACUCGGAGGAAGGUGGGGACGACGUCAAAUCAUCAUGCCCCUUAUGACCUGGGCUACACACGUGCUACAAUGGCCACAACAAAGAGGAGCGAAGUCGUAAGGCGGAGCGGAUCUGAGAAAAGUGGUCUCAGUUCGGAUUGUGGGCUGGCAACUCGCCCACAUGAAGUCGGAGUUGCUAGUAAUCGCGAAUCAGCAUGUCG